RNAcentral lists this transfer RNA (73 nucleotides) under Paraliobacillus ryukyuensis. It matches the Rfam family "tRNA". Rfam says of the family: Transfer RNA (tRNA) molecules are approximately 80 nucleotides in length. Their secondary structure includes four short double-helical elements and three loops (D, anti-codon, and T loops). Further hydrogen bonds mediate the characteristic L-shaped molecular structure. tRNAs have two regions of fundamental functional importance: the anti-codon, which is responsible for specific mRNA codon recognition, and the 3' end, to which the tRNAs corresponding amino acid is attached (by aminoacyl-tRNA synthetases). tRNAs cope with the degeneracy of the genetic code in two manners: having more than one tRNA (with a specific anti-codon) for a particular amino acid; and 'wobble' base-pairing, i.e. permitting non-standard base-pairing at the 3rd anti-codon position. The record is from Rfam by way of RNAcentral. Lineage: Bacteria; Bacillati; Bacillota; Bacilli; Caryophanales; Bacillaceae.
GAGCCAUUAGCUCAGCUGGCAGAGCAUCGGACUUUUAAUCAGAGGGUCGGAGGUUCGAAUCCUCCAUGGCUCA